This 71-nucleotide transfer RNA is filed under the name Planctomycetaceae bacterium. RNAcentral describes it as "tRNA-Gln". It matches the Rfam family "tRNA". From Rfam's summary of the family: Transfer RNA (tRNA) molecules are approximately 80 nucleotides in length. Their secondary structure includes four short double-helical elements and three loops (D, anti-codon, and T loops). Further hydrogen bonds mediate the characteristic L-shaped molecular structure. tRNAs have two regions of fundamental functional importance: the anti-codon, which is responsible for specific mRNA codon recognition, and the 3' end, to which the tRNAs corresponding amino acid is attached (by aminoacyl-tRNA synthetases). tRNAs cope with the degeneracy of the genetic code in two manners: having more than one tRNA (with a specific anti-codon) for a particular amino acid; and 'wobble' base-pairing, i.e. permitting non-standard base-pairing at the 3rd anti-codon position. The record is from RNAcentral. Lineage: Bacteria; Pseudomonadati; Planctomycetota; Planctomycetia; Planctomycetales; Planctomycetaceae.
UACCCGGUGGUGUAAUGGUAGCACAACAGGUUUUGGUCCUGUCAGUUGGGGUUCGAGUCCCUGCCGGGUAA